Molecule: ribosomal RNA, 384 nt
Filed under: Klebsiella pneumoniae
Lineage: Bacteria; Pseudomonadati; Pseudomonadota; Gammaproteobacteria; Enterobacterales; Enterobacteriaceae
Description: bacterial SSU rRNA
Rfam family: Bacterial small subunit ribosomal RNA
Source: RNAcentral
CGGUCCAGACUCCUACGGGAGGCAGCAGUGGGGAAUAUUGCACAAUGGGCGCAAGCCUGAUGCAGCCAUGCCGCGUGUGUGAAGAAGGCCUUCGGGUUGUAAAGCACUUUCAGCGGGGAGGAAGGCGUUAAGGUUAAUAACCUUGGCGAUUGACGUUACCCGCAGAAGAAGCACCGGCUAACUCCGUGCCAGCAGCCGCGGUAAUACGGAGGGUGCAAGCGUUAAUCGGAAUUACUGGGCGUAAAGCGCACGCAGGCGGUCUGUCAAGUCGGAUGUGAAAUCCCCGGGCUCAACCUGGGAACUGCAUUCGAAACUGGCAGGCUAGAGUCUUGUAGAGGGGGGUAGAAUUCCAGGUGUAGCGGUGAAAUGCGUAGAGAUCUGGAG